GAUGAACGCUGGCGGCGUGCCUAAUACAUGCAAGUCGAGCGAACAGACGAGGAGCUUGCUCCUCUGACGUUAGCGGCGGACGGGUGAGUAACACGUGGAUAACCUACCUAUAAGACUGGGAUAACUUCGGGAAACCGGAGCUAAUACCGGAUAAUAUAUUGAACCGCAUGGUUCAAUAGUGAAAGACGGUUUUGCUGUCACUUAUAGAUGGAUCCGCGCCGCAUUAGCUAGUUGGUAAGGUAACGGCUUACCAAGGCAACGAUGCGUAGCCGACCUGAGAGGGUGAUCGGCCACACUGGAACUGAGACCCGGUCCCGACUCCUACGGGAGGCAGCAGUAGGGAAUCUUCCGCAAUGGGCGAAAGCUUGACGGAGCAACGCCGCGUGAGUGAUGAAGGUCUUCGGAUCGUAAAACUCUGUUAUUAGGGAAGAACAAAUGUGUAAGUAACUAUGCACGUCUUGACGGUACCUAAUCAGAAAGCCACGGCUAACUACGUG
RNAcentral lists this ribosomal RNA (497 nucleotides) under uncultured bacterium. RNAcentral's name for it is "partial 16S ribosomal RNA". It matches the Rfam family "Bacterial small subunit ribosomal RNA", at positions 28 to 507 of the family's 1533-position model. The record is from RNAcentral.